AACGAACGCUGGCGGCAUGCCUAAUACAUGCAAGUCGAACGAUCACUUCGGUGGUAGUGGCGCACGGGUGCGUAACGCGUGGGAAUCUGCCCUUGGGUUCGGAAUAACAGUUGGAAACGACUGCUAAUACCGGAUGAUGACGUAAGUCCAAAGAUUUAUCGCCCAAGGAUGAGCCCGCGUAGGAUUAGCUAGUUGGUGGGGUAAAKGCCUACCAAGGCGACGAUCCUUAGCUGGUCUGAGAGGAUGAUCAGCCACACUGGGACUGAGACACGGCCCAGACUCCUACGGGAGGCAGCAGUAGGGAAUAUUGGACAAUGGGGGCAACCCUGAUCCAGCAAUGCCGCGUGAGUGAUGAAGGCCUUAGGGUUGUAAAGCUCUUUUACCCGAGAUGAU
RNAcentral lists this ribosomal RNA (393 nucleotides) under Sphingobium sp. Its description in RNAcentral is "bacterial SSU rRNA". Lineage: Bacteria; Pseudomonadati; Pseudomonadota; Alphaproteobacteria; Sphingomonadales; Sphingobiaceae. The record is from RNAcentral.